Molecule: transfer RNA, 58 nt
Filed under: Myotis myotis
Lineage: Eukaryota; Metazoa; Chordata; Mammalia; Chiroptera; Vespertilionidae
Also listed under: 1 other name
Rfam family: tRNA
About the family: Transfer RNA (tRNA) molecules are approximately 80 nucleotides in length. Their secondary structure includes four short double-helical elements and three loops (D, anti-codon, and T loops). Further hydrogen bonds mediate the characteristic L-shaped molecular structure. tRNAs have two regions of fundamental functional importance: the anti-codon, which is responsible for specific mRNA codon recognition, and the 3' end, to which the tRNAs corresponding amino acid is attached (by aminoacyl-tRNA synthetases). tRNAs cope with the degeneracy of the genetic code in two manners: having more than one tRNA (with a specific anti-codon) for a particular amino acid; and 'wobble' base-pairing, i.e. permitting non-standard base-pairing at the 3rd anti-codon position.
Source: Rfam by way of RNAcentral
UAGCUCAGUGGGUUAGAGUGUUGUCCUGAUAUGCCAAGGUUGCAGGUUCAAUGCCUGC